RNAcentral lists this transfer RNA (51 nucleotides) under Camallanus cotti. RNAcentral describes it as "tRNA-His". Lineage: Eukaryota; Metazoa; Nematoda; Chromadorea; Rhabditida; Camallanidae. The record is from RNAcentral.
GGCCUGUUAGUUUUUUGGAAUUUUUGCUUGUGGAGUAAAAGGUUAGGGCCU